This 424-nucleotide ribosomal RNA is filed under the name uncultured prokaryote. Its description in RNAcentral is "bacterial SSU rRNA". It matches the Rfam family "Bacterial small subunit ribosomal RNA", at positions 355 to 796 of the family's 1533-position model. The record is from RNAcentral.
UGGGGAAUCUUGCACAAUGGGCGAAAGCCUGAUGCAGCCAUGCCGCGUGAAUGAUGAAGGCCUUAGGGUUGUAAAAUUCUUUCGCUAGGGAUGAUAAUGACAGUACCUAGUAAAGAAGCCCCGGCUAACUUCGUGCCAGCAGCCGCGGUAAUACGAAGGGGGCUAGCGUUGUUCGGAAUUACUGGGCGUAAAGCGCGCGUAGGCGGACUUUUAAGUCAGAUGUGAAAUCCCGGGGCUCAACCCCGGAACUGCCUUCAAAACUAUCAGCCUAGAGUUCGAGAGAGGUGAGUGGAAUUCCGAGUGUAGAGGUGAAAUUCGUAGAUAUUCGGAGGAACACCAGUGGCGAAGGCGGCUCACUGGCUCGAUACUGACGCUGAGGUGCGAAAGCGUGGGGAGCAAACAGGAUUAGAUACCCGGGUAGUCC